This 497-nucleotide ribosomal RNA is filed under the name uncultured bacterium. Its description in RNAcentral is "partial 16S ribosomal RNA". It matches the Rfam family "Bacterial small subunit ribosomal RNA", at positions 28 to 507 of the family's 1533-position model. The record is from RNAcentral.
GACGAACGCUGGCGGCGUGCCUAAUACAUGCAAGUUGAGCGCUGAAGGUUGGUACUUGUACCAACUGGAUGAGCAGCGAACGGGUGAGUAACGCGUGGGGAAUCUGCCUUUGAGCGGGGGACAACAUUUGGAAACGAAUGCUAAUACCGCAUAAAAACUUUAAACACAAGUUUUAAGUUUGAAAGAUGCAAUUGCAUCACUCAAAGAUGAUCCCGCGUUGUAUUAGCUAGUUGGUGAGGUAAAGGCUCACCAAGGCGAUGAUACAUAGCCGACCUGAGAGGGGGAUCGGCCACAUUGGGACUGAGACACGGCCCAAACUCCUACGGGAGGCAGCAGUAGGGAAUCUUCGGCAAUGGACGAAAGUCUGACCGAGCAACGCCGCGUGAGUGAAGAAGGUUUUCGGAUCGUAAAACUCGGUUGGUAGAGAAGAACGUUGGUGAGAGUGGAAAGCUCAUCAAGUGACGGUAACUACCCAGAGAGAGACGGCUAACUACGUG